This 498-nucleotide ribosomal RNA is filed under the name uncultured bacterium. RNAcentral describes it as "partial 16S ribosomal RNA". It matches the Rfam family "Bacterial small subunit ribosomal RNA", at positions 30 to 523 of the family's 1533-position model. The record is from RNAcentral.
AUUGAACGCUGGCGGCAUGCCUUACACAUGCAAGUCGAACGGUAACAGGUCUUCGGAUGCUGACGAGUGGCGAACGGGUGAGUAAUACAUCGGAACGUGCCUAGUAGUGGGGGAUAACUACUCGAAAGAGUGGCUAAUACCGCAUGAGAUCUACGGAUGAAAGCAGGGGAUCGCAAGACCUUGUGCUACUAGAGCGGCCGAAGGCCGAGUAGGUAGUUGGUGGGAUAAAAGCUUACCAAGCCGACGAUCUGGAGCUGGUAUAAGAGGACGAUACGCCACACUGGGACUGCGACACGACCCAGACUCCUCCGGGAGGCAGCAGUGGGGAAUUUUGGACAAUGGGCGCAAGCCUGAUCCAGCAAUGCCGCGUGCAGGAUGAAGGCCUUCGGGUUGUAAACUGCUUUUGUACGGAACGAAAAGCCCCGGGUUAAUACCCUGGGGUCAUGACGGUACCGUAAGAAUAAGCACCGGCUAACUACGUGCCAGCCGCCGCCGUAA